Molecule: long non-coding RNA, 2373 nt
Organism: Canis lupus familiaris (dog)
Lineage: Eukaryota; Metazoa; Chordata; Mammalia; Carnivora; Canidae
Exons: 2
Source: RefSeq, a predicted model, not a curated record
ACAUGGUACAUGUGGUCUUCCCAAUGUUGGGCAGGCUCAGUUCCUAAUCUCUUUGGCUCCAGAGGAUCUUGAACUAUCACAAUCACUGCUGACACCAGAUUGUGCCAGAAAUGCCUUUUCAGGUCAUUAAUGAAUGGCAGUGGGAAACUGGAACAUACCCAUGAUCCUCAGAAAAUCAGACCCAGGAUGAGGAUUUUAGAGCCAGAGGGACCUUACCAAAUAUACAGCAACUCUUGAAUUUUGCAGAUGAGAACACUGAAGCCAAAGGAUCAGGAUUCAAGGAUCUGCCCAGGUCAAGUGAUUAUUUAGUGAAUCUGGGACCAGAACUGGUUCUCUUUCCUAGAAUGAAGGCUGAAAAUUCAGCACACUAGUUGUGAAUACUGGGGAAAAGAAAGAGAGGGGAUGAAAUACUCAAGAAAGUCUCCCAAUACAGAUAGGAUUGAGAGGAAAGACAAGUAGAUGCAAUGUACACAUAGCCAGAGAAAAGAGCCAGUAUGUGAACCAAGACUGAAAACACAGAUCUCGGGUGGGCUAAAGCAACUCAGUAAGUGACUUCCCAGAUUGUGUUUUGUUCCCAUUGCACAUACAGUUGGAAGCCAAAUGCAAGCCACCAAGGUUGCAGUGAAACAGUGAACAAUUAUAGCACAAAUAGUUGUGGGCAGCUGUGGGAGUGCAAGCCACCUGCUCCAAGUUUACAGCUUUGUUAAACUUGGUAAAUAUUAAAAAUGGACUAGGAAUGCUCCCAGUUUGUACAGCAUCCCAUACCCUUCCUGGGAGGCCUUACUCGGGGAGCUGAGGUGACCUUGCCUUUGACCAAGCUCUUCUCACUGUGGCCUAGAACUGCUUUCUCUUGAUAGAUGUCAGUGUUGUCAAUAGUCUCUGGGAGAGACUGAGGGAAAUAUGGAGCAUUACAGAAGCAUAUAUUCAUAGAGUUUGAGGGAAUUGCAGAGCCCCCAGAAUAUAAUGUCUCUUUUAAUAAAUGUUCAGAUAAGGAAACUGAAAUCCAAGAGAUGAUGUGUCCAAAGUUAUAAAAUUUUGGGGCAGAACAGACGCUUGACCUCUGAACUUUUGACCCUUUGCUCAGUGCUCCUCCCUUUUAGUCCCGUGAGGUUUAUAGAUGCUGACAAACAGGGAGAUACAGCAUCACAGAAUAUUACAGCUGAAAGGGGCAUGGUUCUCAACUACCAGGGUUUUUGUUUGUCACAUGACUAGGGAGUGCUAUUGGCAUUUAGUGGGCAGGGACCCAGGGUGCAAAUAAGUAGCUUGAAAUGAGAUCAUCCUUCAUAAUGAAUUGUCUUGUCCAGAUACCAAAAAUGCCCUUGUUGAGAAAUACCUUAUCUACCACUUGACUUUACAGUUGAGCCUAAAGACCAGGAAGGGCUUGACCAGAGUCCCAAAGGGAGUCAGCAGUCCAUGGACUCCAUCCCACUGAGCCCCCAAGUGAAUUAGCAGCAGGAAAGAGGCAGCUCUAGCUCCCUACCCCCCUACCCCCGCCCCAACUCCCCCAUCCAGCUCCUGCUGCACUUGCUCUUAAGCCAUUUCUAGGUCUGCACUUACUUGGACUUCAGGCCCUCCUGUCCAUAGGGCUGCAGCAGAUACUGGUGCACAAGCUUAUCCCUGAGAGUUCCAGCCAGUUUGAUUUUCUUUCUUGAUCGGUGCAGGUUGAUGAUAAAAAGCGUAAUGGACCCUCGAACAUAGUUGUGGCUGAGAUGGAGAGAGAGAAGGGGAAAAUGGAAAUAAAGUGGUCAGUUAGAUGCUGCUAAAUAAUUUAUAGACUGCACCAAACAGGACUGCCCCAGGAAAGGGCACUGAUUUUAUGGUUCUUGGUCACUCUUGACCUUCAAAGACAGGAAGGCCUUGUUACUGUGGUUUCUUGCAAAGAAGAUACCAACUUCCCACCACACUCUUUUUGUUUUUGUUUAAAUGUAUUACAAUGAUUUUAGAAAACAAAAUAUCUUUUUCUGAGUGUGAAAAAAACAUGCAGACUGCAGAGAAUAAAAAGGAAAAAUACAGAGAAAUACAAAAAGGAAAAGAAAAUUCUCCCAUAGUCCAAGUAUCUUGCGAUAUGAUACAAUUUUGUGAUGCUCCUCCCUGUGGGAAGAUUUUCUGCCCUGAUGUGGAACCCUAAGGAUCAUAUGAUUGCCUUUGGCCAAUGAAACAUGGAUGGACAUGUUAAAAUCUUUGCAUGGAUUUAAGAGGCUGCCUAUGUUUUGCCAUGUCUCUUUUCCCUGUGCCAGAAGACCAACAAUGUUCUUGACAGAGGCUAUUUUAUUGACUUGCGUCCUGGAACAAAGAUGAUGUGGAGCAGAGCUACAGCUGAGCCAUGACAGACAAGUAGUAUGAAUGAGAAAUACACUUUCUUAUUGAAAGCCA